RNAcentral lists this long non-coding RNA (844 nucleotides) under Chinchilla lanigera (long-tailed chinchilla). RNAcentral's name for it is "lncRNA (ENSCLAG00000029302.1)". The record is from RNAcentral. Lineage: Eukaryota; Metazoa; Chordata; Mammalia; Rodentia; Chinchillidae.
GUGUACCUUAGUUGAUACUGGGGUGCUUUGAAAAUGACCAAAAUCAACCCUUGGUUAAUACAGGCAGAAAAAGAAUGUGUUGAAAGGAUCCUGGACAUCAGAAAAGGAUCCAAUCAACAGCCAAAUAACCCAGCUUCGGAAGGGGCAAGGAUCAGAGCAGCUCUGAGAACGAAGGGAGCAGAAACCGGGAGGGGUAAUGAUGUUCCUGUGCCGCCUGGCUCACGCAAUCAAGUCCAGAAAAGCAGCGUCUGUCUCCUGCGCACCAGGACAAUGGGGAAAGAAUGUACUGAAGAUUCUCGCCAUUGUGGCCGUACUUGGUGUGUACGGGUUGAACAUCCCUAAUCUGAAAAUCUGAAAUUCAAAACAGGAAACCUGCAAUCAUCAACCUGAGGACACAAGUGGAAAGUCGCACACCUGACUUCAUGGGAGAGGCUGCGGUCAAAGCACGGGGGCACCAGAAAUGUUACAAGAAGUUACCCUCAGCUUUGUGCAGAAGGCACACAGGACAGACAUCUUUGAAUUCUGCGUUCAGACUGCAACCCUAUGGCCAAGAUAGGCAUAUAUACAGAUAGACAGAUACACAGGCACGCAAAUAUUCCAAAAUCUAAAAACACCUGGAACACUGUAGGUCCCAAGCAUCUCUGAUGAGGGAUACACAACCCGUAUUCAUGAUGUAUAUGAACGUAGUAUGUAUUCAGACAAAAAAUAAAGAUGUAACUAACAACUGCCAAGGUAAAGAAACACUUCGGGAUCCUCUCCUUUACCCCUCGCCCUCCUUUUCCUCUGCUACCCCUCUCUCACACUGCGGCCACACACCGGGAAAUCAGAAAGCACAAACCUAACA